AAAAAAUGAGAAGAUGAACUGGAAGACCACCAGAAUAAGAUAUACAGGUGGAAGACCUGUUCAUUCAUAAAUCUUCAUCGAUUUAUGAAUGAACAGGUCUUCCACCUGUAUAUCUUAUUCUGGUGGUCUUCCAGUUCAUCUUCUCAUUUUUUCUUUAUAGUUU
Molecule: non-coding RNA, 163 nt
Organism: Pelobates cultripes (western spadefoot toad)
Lineage: Eukaryota; Metazoa; Chordata; Amphibia; Anura; Pelobatidae
Source: the annotation of a GenBank genome assembly